GCGGGCGUGGCGGAAUGGCAGACGCGCAGGACUUAGGAUCCUGUGGGGCAACUCGUGGGGGUUCAAAUCCCUUCGCCCGCACCA
Molecule: transfer RNA, 84 nt
Filed under: Bacillota bacterium
Lineage: Bacteria; Bacillati; Bacillota
Description: tRNA-Leu
Rfam family: tRNA
About the family: Transfer RNA (tRNA) molecules are approximately 80 nucleotides in length. Their secondary structure includes four short double-helical elements and three loops (D, anti-codon, and T loops). Further hydrogen bonds mediate the characteristic L-shaped molecular structure. tRNAs have two regions of fundamental functional importance: the anti-codon, which is responsible for specific mRNA codon recognition, and the 3' end, to which the tRNAs corresponding amino acid is attached (by aminoacyl-tRNA synthetases). tRNAs cope with the degeneracy of the genetic code in two manners: having more than one tRNA (with a specific anti-codon) for a particular amino acid; and 'wobble' base-pairing, i.e. permitting non-standard base-pairing at the 3rd anti-codon position.
Source: RNAcentral